Molecule: ribosomal RNA, 497 nt
Filed under: uncultured bacterium
Lineage: Bacteria
Description: partial 16S ribosomal RNA
Rfam family: Bacterial small subunit ribosomal RNA
Source: RNAcentral
GAUGAACGCUGGCGGCGUGCCUAAUACAUGCAAGUCGAGCGAACAGACGAGGAGCUUGCUCCUCUGACGUUAGCGGCGGACGGGUGAGUAACACGUGGAUAACCUACCUAUAAGACUGGGAUAACUUCGGGAAACCGGAGCUAAUACCGGAUAAUAUAUUGAACCGCAUGGUUCAAUAGUGAAAGACGGUUUUGCUGUCACUUAUAGAUGGAUCCGCGCCGCAUUAGCUAGUUGGUAAGGUAACGGCUUACCAAGGCAACGAUGCGUAGCCGACCUGAGAGGGUGAUCGGCCACACUGGAACUGAGACACGGUCCAGACUCCUACGGGAGGCAGCAGUAGGGAAUCGUCCGCAAUGGGCGAAAGCUUGACGGAGCAACGCCGCGUGAGUGAUGAAGGUCUUCGGAUCGUAAAACUCUGUUAUUAGGGAAGAACAAAUGUGUAAGUAACUAUGCACGCCUUGACGGUACCUAAUCAGAAAGCCACGGCUAACUACGUG